GAUGAAGAACGCAGCGAAAUGCGAUAAGUAGUGUGAAUUGCAGAAUUCAGUGAAUCAUCGAAUCUUUGAACGCACCUUGCACACUUUGGCAUUCCGAAGGGUAUGCUCGUUUGAGUGUCAUUGUACUCUCACACUCCCACUCUUUUGGAUUGGGAGCGGUGGACUUGGGUGUUGCUGCUUCACUGUGGCUCGCCUCAAAUGGAGUAGUGCAACUCUCGGUUGGACAUAGUACGGCGUGAUAAGUGUCUUCGCCGGCGCCUCACUAGAGGGUGGCCGAUCGGGAGCUCUGUGCUUCAAACCGUCUUCGGACAAUCUCUGACAACUUGACCUCAAAUCGAGUAGGACUACCCGCUGAACUUAAGCAUAUCAAUAAGCGGAGGA
This 381-nucleotide unclassified non-coding RNA is filed under the name soil metagenome. RNAcentral's name for it is "partial contains 5.8S ribosomal RNA, internal transcribed spacer 2, and large subunit ribosomal RNA". The stretch from base 1 to 120 matches the Rfam family "5.8S ribosomal RNA", at positions 35 to 154 of the family's 154-position model. The record is from RNAcentral.